GACGAACGCUGGCGGCGUGCUUAACACAUGCAAGUCGAACGGAAAGGCCCUGCUUUUGUGGGGUGCUCGAGUGGCGAACGGGUGAGUAACACGUGAGUAACCUGCCCUUGACUUUGGGAUAACUUCAGGAAACUGGGGCUAAUACCGGAUAGGAGCUCCUGCUGCAUGGUGUGGGUUGGAAAGUUUCGGCGGUUGGGGAUGGACUCGCGGCUUAUCAGCUUGUUGGUGGGGUAGUGGCUUACCAAGGCUUUUACGGGUAGCCGGCCUGAGAGGGUGACCGGCCACCUUGGGACUGAGAUACGGCCCAGACUCCUACGGGAGGCAGCAGUGGGGAAUAUUGCACAAUGGGCGGAAGCCUGAUGCAGAAACGCCGCGUGCGGGAUGACGGCCUUCGGGUUGUAAACCGAUUUCGACUGUGACGAAGAGUGAGUGACGGUAAUGGGUAAAGAAGCAACGGCUAACUACGUG
RNAcentral lists this ribosomal RNA (468 nucleotides) under uncultured bacterium. RNAcentral describes it as "partial 16S ribosomal RNA". It matches the Rfam family "Bacterial small subunit ribosomal RNA", at positions 28 to 507 of the family's 1533-position model. The record is from RNAcentral.